Stylophora pistillata is the source of this 134-nucleotide long non-coding RNA. The record is from RefSeq and is a predicted model, not a curated record. NCBI's taxonomy places the organism in Eukaryota, Metazoa, Cnidaria, Anthozoa, Scleractinia, Pocilloporidae.
GCGGUUGCACUGUACUUAUCUACAACUUGGUACAUGUCACUGAUAUGCGUUAAAUUUGGGACCCUUUAUUCUACUAUUCCAGCUUUCAUGAUAAAAGAAUAAUUGAUAUAUGAUAUGCUGAUGAUUUUAAGAGG